GCUGGGUGUGGUGGCGCAUGCCUGUAGUCCCAGCUACUCGGGAGGCUGAGGUGGGAGGAUCGCUUGAGCCCAGGAGUUCUGGGCUGUAGUGCGCUAUGCCGAUCGGGUGUCCACACUAAGUUUGGCAUCAAUAUGGUGACCUCCCGCAAGCAGGGGACCACCAGGUUGCCUAAGGAGAGGUGAACCGGCCCAGGUCGGAAAUGGAGCAGGUCAAAACUCCCGUGCUGAUCAGUAGUGGGAUCACGCCUGUGAAUAGCCACUGCACUCCAGCCUGGGCAACAUAGUGAGACCCCGUCACU
This 299-nucleotide signal recognition particle RNA is filed under the name Aotus nancymaae (Ma's night monkey). RNAcentral describes it as "Metazoan signal recognition particle RNA (ENSANAG00000012532.1)". It matches the Rfam family "Metazoan signal recognition particle RNA". From Rfam's summary of the family: The signal recognition particle (SRP) is a universally conserved ribonucleoprotein. It is involved in the co-translational targeting of proteins to membranes. Lineage: Eukaryota; Metazoa; Chordata; Mammalia; Primates; Aotidae. The record is from RNAcentral.